RNAcentral lists this ribosomal RNA (293 nucleotides) under uncultured bacterium. Its description in RNAcentral is "partial 16S ribosomal RNA". It matches the Rfam family "Bacterial small subunit ribosomal RNA", at positions 775 to 1067 of the family's 1533-position model. The record is from RNAcentral.
GGAUUAGAUACCCUGGUAGUCCUAGCUGUAAACGAUGGAUACUAGACGUAGGAACUGGAUUGACGGUUUCUGUGUCGUAGCUAACGCGUUAAGUAUCCCACCUGGGGAGUACGAUCGCAAGAUUGAAACUCAAAGGAAUUGACGGGGGCCCGCACAAGCGGUGGAGCAUGUGGUUUAAUUCGAUGAUACGCGAGGAACCUUACCAGGGCUUAAAUGUAACGGGACAGAUCUAGAGAUAGAUCCUUCUUCGGACUCAUUACAAGGUGCUGCAUGGUUGUCGUCAGCUCGUGCCG